CGCCAGCCUGACGGAGCCAGACCGCGUGGGGGAGGAAGGCCCUUGGGUUGUAAACCCCUUUUCUCAGGGAAGAAACCUGACGGUACCUGAGGAAUCAGCCUCGGCUAACUCCGUGCCAGCAGCCGCGGUAAUACGGAGGAGGCAAGCGUUAUCCGGAAUUAUUGGGCGUAAAGCGUCCGCAGGUGGCGAUUCAAGUCUGCUGUCAAAGCACGGGGCUUAACUCCGUUAAGGCAGUGGAAACUGAAUGGCUAGAGUGCCGUAGGGGUAGAGGGAAUUCCCGGUGUAGCGGUGAAAUGCGUAGAGAUUGGGAAGAACACCGGUGGCGAAAGCGCUCUACUGGACCAUCACUGACACUCAGAGGACGAAAGCUAGGGGAGCG
Molecule: ribosomal RNA, 379 nt
Filed under: uncultured cyanobacterium
Lineage: Bacteria; Bacillati; Cyanobacteriota
Description: bacterial SSU rRNA
Rfam family: Bacterial small subunit ribosomal RNA
Source: RNAcentral